AUCCAGCUAACGAGUCUCAAAUAAGACGAAACACGAGUUCUGGGU
Molecule: non-coding RNA, 45 nt
Filed under: Schistosoma curassoni
Lineage: Eukaryota; Metazoa; Platyhelminthes; Trematoda; Strigeidida; Schistosomatidae
Source: RNAcentral